AAAUUGAAGAGUUUGAUCAUGGCUCAGAUUGAACGCUGGCGGCAGGCCUAACACAUGCAAGUCGAACGGUAACAGGAAGAAGCUUGCUUCUUUGCUGACGAGUGGCGGACGGGUGAGUAAUGUCUGGGAAACUGCCUGAUGGAGGGGGAUAACUACUGGAAACGGUAGCUAAUACCGCAUAACGUCGCAAGACCAAAGAGGGGGACCUUCGGGCCUCUUGCCAUCGGAUGUGCCCAGAUGGGAUUAGCUAGUAGGUGGGGUAACGGCUCACCUAGGCGACGAUCCCUAGCUGGUCUGAGAGGAUGACCAGCCACACUGGAACUGAGACACGGUCCAGACUCCUACGGGAGGCAGCAGUGGGGAAUAUUGCACAAUGGGCGCAAGCCUGAUGCAGCCAUGCCGCGUGUAUGAAGAAGGCCUUCGGGUUGUAAAGUACUUUCAGCGGGGAGGAAGGGAGUAAAGUUAAUACCUUUGCUCAUUGACGUUACCCGCAGAAGAAGCACCGGCUAACUCCGUGCCAGCAGCCGCGGUAAUACGGAGGGUGCAAGCGUUAAUCGGAAUUACUGGGCGUAAAGCGCACGCAGGCGGUUUGUUAAGUCAGAUGUGAAAUCCCCGGGCUCAACCUGGGAACUGCAUCUGAUACUGGCAAGCUUGAGUCUCGUAGAGGGGGGUAGAAUUCCAGGUGUAGCGGUGAAAUGCGUAGAGAUCUGGAGGAAUACCGGUGGCGAAGGCGGCCCCCUGGACGAAGACUGACGCUCAGGUGCGAAAGCGUGGGGAGCAAACAGGAUUAGAUACCCUGGUAGUCCACGCCGUAAACGAUGUCGACUUGGAGGUUGUGCCCUUGAGGCGUGGCUUCCGGAGCUAACGCGUUAAGUCGACCGCCUGGGGAGUACGGCCGCAAGGUUAAAACUCAAAUGAAUUGACGGGGGCCCGCACAAGCGGUGGAGCAUGUGGUUUAAUUCGAUGCAACGCGAAGAACCUUACCUGGUCUUGACAUCCACGGAAGUUUUCAGAGAUGAGAAUGUGCCUUCGGGAACCGUGAGACAGGUGCUGCAUGGCUGUCGUCAGCUCGUGUUGUGAAAUGUUGGGUUAAGUCCCGCAACGAGCGCAACCCUUAUCCUUUGUUGCCAGCGGUCCGGCCGGGAACUCAAAGGAGACUGCCAGUGAUAAACUGGAGGAAGGUGGGGAUGACGUCAAGUCAUCAUGGCCCUUACGACCAGGGCUACACACGUGCUACAAUGGCGCAUACAAAGAGAAGCGACCUCGCGAGAGCAAGCGGACCUCAUAAAGUGCGUCGUAGUCCGGAUUGGAGUCUGCAACUCGACUCCAUGAAGUCGGAAUCGCUAGUAAUCGUGGAUCAGAAUGCCACGGUGAAUACGUUCCCCGGGCCUUGUACACACCGCCCGUCACACCAUGGGAGUGGGUUGCAAAAGAAGUAGGUAGCUUAACCUUCGGGAGGGCGCUUACCACUUUGUGAUUCAUGACUGGGGUGAAGUCGUAACAAGGUAACCGUAGGGGAACCUGCGGUUGGAUCACCUCCUUACCUUAAAGAAGC
RNAcentral lists this ribosomal RNA (1555 nucleotides) under Escherichia coli. RNAcentral describes it as "bacterial SSU rRNA". It matches the Rfam family "Bacterial small subunit ribosomal RNA". The record is from RNAcentral. Lineage: Bacteria; Pseudomonadati; Pseudomonadota; Gammaproteobacteria; Enterobacterales; Enterobacteriaceae.